GGAAAAGCUCAGCUUGUAAAUCUCCAUACGGUUUCCGCAUGUGAGAAUUGUAGCGUGUAGACGAGGUCACCAGCAGCGGCCUGAGGAUAAUUCGCCUGGGAUGGUGAAUCAUAGAGGGUGACAAUCCCGUCUGUGCCUCAGAGUCCGCUGUCGUACGGUGCUCGUUCUUCGAGUCGAGUUGCUUGGGAAUGCAGCUCUAAGUGGGUGGUAAGUUCCAUCUAAAGCUAAAUAUUGACAAGAGACCGAUAGCGAACAAGUACCGUGAGGGAAAGAUGAAAAGAACUUUGAAAAGAGAGUUAAAAGUACUUGAAAUUGUUAACAGGGAAUCGCUUCUACUCCAAGCUCUGAUUGUAGGAAAUCAGCCUUGCUCGCGGCGUGUGCUGUAGGACGGAGUUGCCACUCGGUAGCCCGUCCUGCGGUUCUUAGUUGUGAUAAGGGUGCACUUUUCUGCAGUAGGGUCAACAUCAAUUCUCGUUCCGCGAGAUGGUCGUGCAUCAAGGUAGUUCCUCACUUCGGUAAGGAAAACUUAUAGGGUGCGUGUGCCGAGCGGAAGGGGGAUUGAGGACAACAAUGGCAUGCCUCUAGGCUGUGACGUGCGUCACUUGCGCUGAUGGGCUGGCAGACUGCAAGCAGUGUGUCGGCGUAUUGGUGUUGGUAGGUGUACUAGCAAUGUGCCAUCAGGAUGUUGACGUAAGGGGUAGCAUCGACCCGUCUUGAAACACGGACCAAGGAGUCUA
RNAcentral lists this ribosomal RNA (737 nucleotides) under Symbiodinium sp. clade A. Its description in RNAcentral is "partial Eukaryotic large subunit ribosomal RNA". It matches the Rfam family "Eukaryotic large subunit ribosomal RNA", at positions 101 to 677 of the family's 3401-position model. The record is from RNAcentral. Lineage: Eukaryota; Dinophyceae; Suessiales; Symbiodiniaceae.